AAUCCAAACCCUCAAUAUUAAAGAAAGAUACAAAGAAAUCAUAAAUAAAAAAUUUUCUUCAUUUAAAUUUUAUAUUUCAAACUAUUUCUGCCUUCAAAAUUAUUCCACAAGUAAAAUUCAGUUAAGUAGAUCUAAGUAUUACAUUUAAGUAGUGGAAAGCAGUAGUGUUUGUUUUUCCCCAAGCUUCUUAAACCAGAGAUUUUCAAUCAUUUUCUUAACAUAAUAAUUGGAAAAGCAUUCAUUUACUCUAUUUUUAAUUUAGCUAGUAAUGUGUUUCUGAUCUGAAGGGGUUAAUUCAAAAUAUAUAUUGAUUUUAUUAAGAAAGUCCCAAGACCACUGUAAGUUUUAGAAUCAGUCUAAGGAUUUGAUUUCAUAAGACUAUGAUUUUACAAAAUGAAAGUAAAAUAUUUCUAUAACUUUUUAAAAUUUAGUAUUGUUUCAAAAUCUGAUUUUUGGUAAUAAAGCUUCAAGGCAAAAAUUGCAGUUACAGCAUCGAAUAGCAGAGGGAUAUCUCAGUCAGUCUUGCUUAUUAUGCCAGCAGAGAGGUGAAUUUCAUCCAAAAAUCUCUGUAAAAUCCAGUCAUAGGGUGGAUCUGGGCCAUAACUUUGCUAGGACCUUGUCAAACUACAUAUUCUGUGGUUUUUACAUUCCUACAGGACAUCCCACACAUACUGGGUUUUUUCUAGUUUUCCCAGGAGAAGCUGCACCAUUGCACUGUGGUUCUCAACUAGAAAACCAGAAUCCAGCACCUGUCUUGGCACAGAGCUCCAGCCUGCUCACUGCCUCCUCCUGGGCAGAUUUUAGGGCAAGGACACAGCAUUGCUGGAUAUGUUGAAGGAUUUGCUGUAAGCUGGAACUGAUGUUCCCAGGGGCUGGACCAUAAAUGUAAACUCAAUGACCAGUUGAUGUGGCAGAAAAGGGGAAAAAAAAAAAAAAAAAAAGGUGUUUCAAAGUCUGUCCUACUGUCAGACCUCACAGGAAUUUUAGAUUAAGUUUGCUGCCUGAAUUUUUGCUGGUAACAGGAGGGUACAGUAUCAGGCAGUUUUACAAGUGUGGCUGAUGUGCUGAAAUAUUAAAAAGAUUUUUUUUUUUCCUUGUACUUUUGACCUGUGAGACAUGAAGCUCUGAGAAUUAAAGCAGCAAUGCAGUUUAGGUUUCAGUUGUGAGAAAUGGAGAAUUCUUCACGUGACAACCGCUGGGUUAAGUGUUUGUUCAAAACCAAAACCAACCCAUGAGUAACAUAGGCAGCUAAAUUGCACCAUCUGGAGCAAGAGGCAGAUGUAAGCAUCUUUAUUUAAGAAUCAAUUUCUUGCUGUUUAUGAAAGAUGUGUGGAAUUAAUUCAGUCCUUUUUUUGUCGGUAGCAUCAUUCACAGGAAACAGCUUUGUGUAAACAUCUGGAAUAUAAAUUCCUUAGCCAUUUUAGGUAAUAAAUCCAGAAUAACUGUUAAGCAUUAAUAGGCAGGAUUGCUUAAGGACUUCAGACUACUCGACAGGCUGGACAAAGCACAGGCAGAUGCUUUAAACAGACCAGAAGGAAGGCUGAUAAUUAUAAGCAGAGCAGGGAAGUGACCUUUUAUUGUGGCAGGAACUGGAAGCAUCACCAUACACCUCAACACAACACAAGGCACAAAUUAGACAGAACUGUCCACAACACCUAGACAAUCUUGUUUUCCAUCUGGUGCUCUGGGCCUUCCAGGUCUAAGCUGGGCAUUCAGAAGGUGAGGCACAUAAAAUUAUCAGUCAUCUUCUAAAUUUUACAGAGAAAGUGGUAUUUUCAUAAGAAUGCAGCCAUUUUGUUUUCACAAUACUAAUUGGUUGUCAAUGAUUAAUGAAAUGGUAAUUGGUUUUGCUACUGAAAAUUAGAGGGCUCGAUUCACAAAAUUAUUUUAUUCAUUCAGUGUUUACAGAUGGAAGGAAAGGGGCAUAUGGAAAAUAAUUUAUAGGUGAUCCUCAGAAACUUUUUAAGCUUCAUCUAAGUUCGUUCAAAGUGAAUAUAUAAAUAUAAAGAUAAAAUAAGGCAGUAAUCUAUGUACAUUCAGGCAGAAACAGACUAUGAUUUAGAGCCUCUUAGGAUAAAAAAUAAUGAAUGAAUAAGACUGAUUAAUUAAAACUUAACAUUAAGUUGUGCUCUUUUAUAAAGGUCCAUCUAGUUCAGUCCAAUUUUUUUCCAGAUGGAAGGCAUGCAUAGGAUAAAUUAUGCUCACAGAAAGAAAGAAAGAACUUCAGUGAGACCAAGGCAACCACUAAUAAAGCAACCAUUAGCACAUUUAUAGAGCUUGGAGAGGGGAAGAUCUAUGGAAAGAAAGUACUUUAAAGAAGCUGUCCACCAAAGAAACAUAGAAAAGUUUAGAUUUUGAAUAUAUGGCUAUUUUCUCACAUUGAGAACUCUGAUUUAGUUCCAGAUAUGUUUUAUGGACUGUAUAAUUAAAAUGUGUGCCUAAAUGCAAAUGUGCAUUAUACUACUUAUAUGGAGAAAUUUACCAGCUUAAGUCUUGUGAUGUGAGUUGAUACACCCAGAAAGGCCAAAAUUAUUUGUUCUUCAGUGGAUCUUUGUCUCCAGUAAAUAGAGAGUCACCAUCAGGAAGCUGGAUUUAUGAGAGACUCUAAAAACCAGGCCCUGGUAAUUCUGCUUGGCGAAAUUUAAUUUAGAUUUAAUUAGAGAUGGACUGGAGUCAGGAUAAUGGCUUCAAGAAGCUGUUGUUAAUCCUGCAGGGAUAAAAGUUACCUCUGUUUGAUUUGACCUCCCGUUUGAGAGUGACCCAUGAAAAUUUGACUUUUAGGUUAGGUGUCUGUAGCCACCAUGGACUCUCAAACCAGUGUCUGGGACAGAAUUAGUGCCCCUGUCAGCAAGGUGACAGACACCUGUGCAUGUGUGACAAAUUCUAUUUGUCACAGUUCCUAUUGGUGACCUAUCAGCACCAACACUGCUUAUAAAAACCCUGUCUGGGCUUAUUUGUCAUGGGUAGGGAAGGCAACUGCAGGCACAUAGGAUUCCUCUUGCUCACAGCCCUUGCCCAGCUCCUCUCUUCCCUAGAGCAAGUGCUCCCAUCCUCCCUGGUCCUGUCACUGUGCUUCUAACCACAGCCAGGUCUUUUAUUUUUGUUUUAUAAUGAUUAAAUAUAAUUUUUAAUGACUAAAAUAUUAUUUCUUUAAAGGUAUCAUGCUUUAAAAAAACAUCCAUGCAUUUACCUAUGGUAAGAAAAAAAAGUUAAAAUUCCUAUCGUGACUCAAAAGCAAUAAAAAUCCGGGAGAAAAAAACCCACCAUCAACAGGUUUAAGAUGGUGGCUCAAUAUUCUCAAAACGUCUUCAGAAUAUUUUAACUUUAAUUAGUAUUUUUGAAAACAGAAGUUGUCCAGUAUGGCGUAACUUCCUUUUCGGUUGAAAAAAUUAAACUGUUUUUUGCCCUAUGCUUUGACACAGCAUUGUCUGGCGAUCUGAGAAUCCUGUAAUGGCACCGAGCAGCUCAGGAAUGACUGAGGAGCACCUCCACUCCCAAUACUAUUUUCCUGUCACACAGUGAUGCCAGAACUUUUAAAAGGAUUGUUCUUGCAGCGUUGUUUCUUUCAGGCAUCGGGAUAUCUGUAGGUUGCUGGUCGACGGUUGCUUCCUCGAUUGUGAUUAUACCUUUUUCAUUACAUUUAAAAGCUUUGCUACAGAUGAGUAGCAUAUGGUAUUGGCUAAGGAGAUGAGCCUUUAAUGAGAUAUAGAACACACCAACAAAAUGCUUGCUAAAUUGCAAUGACACGCUUGUGCUGGUAGCAUGUGAUGUUGGGAAAUUAAAUUCUUGACAAGACAACACAAACGCACUUCAGCGGGAGUGUAGUCACCCAACUUGUUCUCAAGUUGGUCCAGAAGACAGGGCAAGUGGGAAGCUGCUGGGAGGGAGGCGGGAUUGUGUUCUCUCCUUGUUCUGUGGCGCAAUUUCACAAAAGUAAUUUUGCCUUUUUGCUCUGAUUUUGCACAAGGAUAUAACAAGACAGGGCAUUGCUUUCUUGAGGAGGUAAAGUGGUAAGAACGACUGCUGAUGCAGAAGGGCCUUCCAAAAAUUGUUGCAUCUGUCUUACACACACAGAAUUUCAAACAGCUAAACAAUAAAAACAACCACCACCAACAGACUAUGAGCGAUAUGUGACUUGCUGUAACCUGGAGCCAUGCACACUAUUUAAUUAGCACCAUUGAAAAUUUUCAGUCUGGGAAUACAAAACCCAGUCUUCUAUUCAGCUCAAGGAGUGGCUGUUGAGCCUGCAGAAGGAAAGAGAUAGCAGUACCCCUGAGUACCUCUGACACUUUGACUUUCAUGCCUGGACUCCCAAAUCACCCAUUUUUUUGUAAGGAAGAGUAAAAGUAAUAACACUAAUAAUAUUGUUGUGAGUAGUUCACAAGGUUUGAAAGGGUUUGGUAACAUCAUUACCCUGUCAUGGGAGAGAUUAAAGAAAUUAAAUGUUAGAUUCCUAGCCAAGGAAUUCAGAUCCAACAGAUAUAACCUAGGCUGGCACCAUUUGAUGGGUAAAAUGAAGCUAUAACUGCUCUAUUAAGACUGCUCCUCUUGGGUCCUUCUAACACUCUCUAAGCUUCUUCUUGCCCUCCCCAAAAUGCAGAGAAACACAUGUCAGAAAAGUAAAGCAUGUAAACAUCUCCUUUUCCUUCCUGUAAAAGCAACCAGCUAAUUAAAAAUAGCAGCUUUCAUCCACUCAGCCUUCCCAAGGCAACCGGAGUGUCGUGGUGCAAAUGUAUUUUUAAGAAAAAAUUUACGUUUUAUUUCUUUAUGAAGAGUUUUUUCAUGUUUGUUUCACCUUACCAAGGUUUGGAAAGCUAAAUAUAAAGAAUGCUUGCAGUGCAAGUUAUUGAGAAAUUGCAUUUUUCAGGUACAAGAAUUUUCUAGGAAAUACCCCUCGAUUUGAACUAGAGAUAAUCUCUGAACUGUUCGAUCAUAUGUGAGCUUUAAGGAAAUCCAGAUCUCUUCGUGAACUUCGUGGGUUGUCUAUCUGUUGUAGAUUUUAAACUAAAAUCUAAUCCUGGAGGAAAAUUUGCCUGUUUAGAACAGGUCUGAACCAGAGCAGAUCAUUACAAUCCCAGUUCUAGCAUGCUAUAGGGGAAAAAAUUAAAAAUCUAAAGAAUAGCUGUGGCAUCAUCCAUAACAUACCUCUAAGAUACAUGAACUGUAGGUGAGUACAGAUGUUCUUAAGAUAGAUUUAAAGUAGGUUACCCUGGGAAUUCAGCUUCAGGAGCUGAACAUAGCUAUCUCUGGUUAUCAAACCAGACGCCAAAGUGAGUUUUGCACCGCGCUGAUCUUCAUGGUGCCUUCAGCAGUCACUCAGCAGUAGCUACCUGAGUUAAUUCAAAACCAUCUUCAAUAUGUCACAUGGUGGCCAUGUAAACAUAUAUGUGGACUGUGCUGUGUCUUUUGCUACUGAUGUACUCUGUCAGCUGCUUUUCAAAAGAUAGAAAUCUCUGUCUUAAUGCUCCCAGCAGAAAGCAUUUUCUUGUACUUUGCAGAGCAAAAGGAUAAUGAUAACGUCUUCUUACAGUAGUCACGGAGCAAAAGGGAAAAUCAGUUUAUAUUGCAGCCAGGAUGUUCAAGGUACGCUUUGGUUUUCUUGAUUUUGUUGAGAGCAGCAAGCUGGAUUAGCACACGAUGGGCACCCUGGGCCUCUGAGCUUUGUGUGUUUACCAAGCAAUCCGAGCACACUUUCCAUUCCAAGGCUCCACCUCGCACCUGUGCUGCCAUGGGAAGGCCAGGUGAGAAGCAGGGUAGGUAAUCUGAGCCCCAGGGGCUGCUGAAUCGAGAUUACCCUCAACCCAGCUCAUGUUAGCUCCCAGUGGAGAGGUGAGGCUUAGAGAAUACCCUUGCUAUUCCCUGUAUGUGAGUUGUUUUAAGAAUUCCUUUGGACUUGUGGUGCCCACAGUAUGUGCAUUUGCUUUUGGCAGGGAGCUGUUAGGAUCGAUAAAGAUUUGUGGAGACUUGCUGUUUCUAUGCCAGCUAGUUUCUACAAAUUAUUAUUUUCCCAUCUUAAGGGAAAAAAAAAAAAGCGUCUUUGAAAUCAUUCGGAGACCGAGGAUCUGAGCCGAGGCCUGUGUGGAUCUGACAGUGUGGGAAGAUGACUGGAGAGAGAACUGAAAUAUCCAGCUUGGCAAUUUUAUUCCUACUUCCUCCCUUGUACUCCCUAUUCACAUUUUUCCCUGCUGGCACACCCUUAUUUAUCUCUUACCUUGAGCCAAAGAUAUUGUGCUAUUCUGAGAGAUAUUUUCUGAAGGAGCUCCAGCGUCUCCUUGGGAUGAUGGUAAAAAGAUUCUUUUGUUCACUUGGUUAAGCACGAAGCAUCAUCUGUUUCUUCCUAAUAGGUUUUUUCUUCUAGCUAAAUGUCUUUUAACAAUUGGAAUUAGAAACAAAUUAUAUUCAGCUAUUCAGACCUUGCAAAGAAAGGCUUAUGCCUUUGUCUUUUUUCCCUGUCUGAAAGCAGGCUAAAGGACAAAUGCUGCUCUGUGCCCACUGCUCUCAAGUAUAUGAAUGGUAAUUCUAUAUAUAUAUAUUAUGCAUAUUUUUUCAAUAUCCACUGUAAUCUGCAUAAUACACAUAUGUACAUCAAGUUUGCAGAUGUUCCAGUGAUACCAAGACAGUAAAGUAUGUGGUGACAGGCUUUUUCACUCCAUUUAGCCAUUGCGUUGCAUGAAGUGAAAGGUUGUAUAUCUGGGUGAUUUUUUCAAUAGUGAAAAAUACCUCUUCAAUUAUUUUCUCACUGUCUUUAGCGGGGGUAUUAUCAUCAGUAAAAAUCCUCACAUGCUUUUUUCGUGCAUCUAUAUUAUGGAAACAUGAUUAUCCAUGAAUGUGGUACCUGGACAGCAAUGUACUUGGAAGCUAAUUUUGCUUUUUAUUGCAGAGAAACGCAAAGAAGAACAAAACUUUGGGGAAGAAAGUUUCCCUUAUUAAAUAUUUACCAUUUCAGCUCCAGAUUCAGGAAAGCCCAGGGUGCAAACUGUGCCCCUGCAGCCCGCUGAGGUCCACGGGGGAGCAGAGAUCCACCUGCAGCCUGUGAAGGACCCCACCUUGGAGCAGGAGGGUGCCUGGAGGAGACUGUGACUCCAUGGGAAACCCACACUGGAGCAGGCUCCUGGCAGGGGCCUGUGGAGAGAGGAGCCCACACUGGAGCAGGUUUGCUGGCAGGACUUGUGACCCUGCAGGGGACCCACGCUGGAGCAGCUUAUUCCUGAAGGAUUGCACCCCAUGGGAAGGACCCACACUGGAACAGUUCAUGAAGAACUGUGGCCCAUGGGAAGGAUUCACAUUGGAGAAGCUUGGGGAGGACUGUUUCCUGUGGGAGGGACCCCACACUGGAGCAGGGGGAGAGUGUGAGGAGUCCUCCCCACAGGGAGAAAGGAGUGGAAGAGACAAGGUGUGAUGAACUGCCUUCAGCCCCCAUUCCCCAUCCACCUGCACCACUGGGGAGAAGGAGGUGGAGAAAAUGAGAAUGAAAUUGAGCCUGGGAAGAGGGAGGGGUGGGGGGGAAUGUGUUUUAAGAUUAUUUCCUACUCUAAUUUGAUUGGCAAUAAAUCAAACCAAUUUCCCCAAGCUGAGUCUGUUUUGCCCCUGAUGGUAAUUGGUGAGUGAUCUCUCCCUGCCCUUAUCCCAACCCAUGAACUUUUAGUUAUACUUUCUCAUCCCUUCCCAGGAGGAGGGGAGUGAUAGAGCAGCUUUGGUGAGUACCUGCCAUCCAGCCAGGUCAACCCACAACAGACAUAUUGUUUGGGAAAUAUAAGGCACCAUUUUCCUGCAAAUGCCCGUUUUCUGACUCCGCUGUUUCUGUGCUUAAAAUUGGAACUUUGGAGACAAGAAUAUGAAUUGAUUUUGUGAAA
Pseudopipra pipra is the source of this 7853-nucleotide long non-coding RNA. RefSeq lists it as uncharacterized. The record is from RefSeq and is a predicted model, not a curated record. NCBI's taxonomy places the organism in Eukaryota, Metazoa, Chordata, Aves, Passeriformes, Pipridae. The transcript has 2 exons.